UGGGUUGGUGUCUUGGGUUUCUUAGUUGGAUGAGAUCCUAAUUUGAAUAUGAUUCAAAUUCAUGGUGUCCUAAAUUAGUUAGGACUGGAUCAGAUUGGGCAUCCAAACCUUUAAAAAGGGAAGUUAUGGUUGGUGGUUAGCGUGAGACAUUUUUGUGCGACAAAACAUGAAAACUGUGAGGAAUAACCACUGUGACAAAGGAGGGCACUGAUUUCUUAUUGGUGUGGGUUCUUCUGGAUGCUUCUUCCUAGGUGUGAAGACUCCCUUCAGAGAUUGGCUCUUAACCCUCCCUG
RNAcentral lists this long non-coding RNA (293 nucleotides) under Elaeis guineensis (African oil palm). Its description in RNAcentral is "long non-coding RNA (EGUI_LNC057181)". Lineage: Eukaryota; Viridiplantae; Streptophyta; Magnoliopsida; Arecales; Arecaceae. The record is from RNAcentral.